This 468-nucleotide ribosomal RNA is filed under the name uncultured bacterium. Its description in RNAcentral is "partial 16S ribosomal RNA". It matches the Rfam family "Bacterial small subunit ribosomal RNA", at positions 28 to 507 of the family's 1533-position model. The record is from RNAcentral.
GAUGAACGCUGGCGGCGUGCUUAACACAUGCAAGUCGAACGGAAAGGCCCAAGCUUGCUUGGGUACUCGAGUGGCGAACGGGUGAGUAACACGUGGGUGAUCUGCCCUGCACUUCGGGAUAAGCCUGGGAAACUGGGUCUAAUACCGGAUUGGACCACUUCUUGGAUGUUGUGGUGGAAAGUUUUUCGGUGUGGGAUGAGCUCGCGGCCUAUCAGCUUGUUGGUGGGGUAAUGGCCUACCAAGGCGUCGACGGGUAGCCGGCCUGAGAGGGUGUACGGCCACAUUGGGACUGAGAUACGGCCCAGACUCCUACGGGAGGCAGCAGUGGGGAAUAUUGCACAAUGGGCGCAAGCCUGAUGCAGCGACGCCGCGUGGGGGAGGACGGCCUUCGGGUUGUAAACUCCUUUCGCUAGGGACGAAGCUUAUUUUGUGACGGUACCUGGAGAAGAAGAACCGGCUAACUACGUG